RNAcentral lists this long non-coding RNA (399 nucleotides) under Piliocolobus tephrosceles (Ugandan red Colobus). RNAcentral's name for it is "lncRNA (ENSPTEG00000035121.1)". Lineage: Eukaryota; Metazoa; Chordata; Mammalia; Primates; Cercopithecidae. The record is from RNAcentral.
UCCCCGCAGGGCGCGAAGGAGAAACUGAUAGUCCGCAGUGGGGUGAACUUAAAGACCUGACUUUCAUUAGCGUGGUGUUGUAACAGACUGGCCUCUGAGGAAAUGGACUUUACGCAUAAAAAUGGUGACCUGUCUCCUGACCUGCCGCCUGAUCUGCCUGCCAGGGUGGAUGCAGACCAACGUUUGCAAACCUUAACGGACAGUGUGAAUGCUGAUUGGAAAGACAGCAACUGGAGCUCACAAAUAAUUUCCCCAAAGGUCAAUUAGACAGACCCACAAGAUAUCUCUGGCACACAUAGGAAGUAUCGGCCUCAUCUAUAUUUAUUGUAAUUCCCUUCUCCCUGGUCCCAUUAAAGGAGAGUUUGGGGUGCAAUAAAUAUUUCAUGAUAAAAAUGUCCA